This 640-nucleotide long non-coding RNA is filed under the name Rosa chinensis. Its description in RNAcentral is "sRNA RchiOBHm_Chr5g0056811". Lineage: Eukaryota; Viridiplantae; Streptophyta; Magnoliopsida; Rosales; Rosaceae. The record is from RNAcentral.
CAAAAUGGCCUUCUUGCUUCAUUUGAUUUCAAAAAUCAGAGUCCUCACGUUGGCAAUAGCUUUAGAGGACUCAUGACAUGCCAGCUUUCUGCUUGUAGAAAUCUGCAUCUUGAUCUGCUCAGCUUAUUGAGACCUUCACAAACAACAUUGCAUAAGUUGUUUCCGGCUGGCCCCUCAUAGCCUCACCUUCAUGUGUGGAAUCAAUGAGUUCAGAAUUGAGGGUGAUCAAUUUCGAUAUGAAGUUGUAUCUCAGAUUCACUUCAUUAAUUCAUUCACUUAAGCUUGAUGUGAGAUCAAGGAAGGUGUGCUCACUGCAGGGGAUGGUGAUACCGCCCAGGGGAUGAUCAAAUCCAAAUUCUUCUUCUGCUUGCCUCAACAAAUCUUGGAAUGAAGGAUGGUUCAAGUAUGAUAUUGGAACCACGAAUCGUUUCUUCUGGCUCUCCCCAACAUAGACUGCAAAUAUCCUUUAGGGAUAUCUAAUGUCUUUGAACCAGAUAGAGAUCUAGUAAGAGUUUUCUUGGCACUAGCAAUUGCUGGUAACCGAAAACCCAUGGUUUUUAUCUUUCAGGUGGAAAUGAAACAAGAAAAUGAACCAGAAAGACUUAUGAAAUGAAAGAAAGCUUAAUUUGAUACUUGGGAA